This 62-nucleotide transfer RNA is filed under the name Platynereis massiliensis. RNAcentral describes it as "tRNA-Leu". Lineage: Eukaryota; Metazoa; Annelida; Polychaeta; Phyllodocida; Nereididae. The record is from RNAcentral.
AAUGAGUUGGCAGACUUAUGCACUUGAUUUAGGAUCAACCCACAGGAAAUUCCUACUCAUUA